UUUGAAUCAUUCGACGUCGUGUGCUCAUAGUUCACAGUUCAUACUAGAAACAAUACUGUAACGUUCAUAAUAAUAAUGUUGAUAAUUAUCAUCAAACAAAAAUCUAAGAAAGAUGUGGAGUUCAGUGUUUCAAUGUAUGAAACCAUUUUUACUUUGAAAAAAAAGAUAGAGAAACGUUUAGGAAUUUCUGCCGGACAAUGUGACAUUUCGUCAACAGACGGAAAUAUUGCAGGCGCCGAUCUUAUAUUGGAAAUGUCAGGAGUUCAGGACGGUGCAAAUAACGACAGUCGACCGGUUAUAUCAGUCUAUAACGCUAGUAAUUUGUGGGUCGGCUUGUGGUGAUCGAAAAGGGCAAAGAAACUGUGUCGCCGGUAAGCAGCAUGUUAGCGCUGGAACAAAGUUCAGAUUCCAGCAGUGAAUCUAUCGAAAAAUGUAUAAAACCACAGGCUCAGAAACGAAAAAUGAAUCAUGAUUUACCUGCGGAGAAUAAGAGAUAUAAGGUGGACCCUACCGUGAGCGAGGAAAGUAAAAUUUUAAGUGGGA
Molecule: long non-coding RNA, 543 nt
Organism: Drosophila willistoni
Lineage: Eukaryota; Metazoa; Arthropoda; Insecta; Diptera; Drosophilidae
Exons: 3
Source: RefSeq, a predicted model, not a curated record